UCAAGCAAGUAUAGGUCUGUGGCGGAUGCCUGGGAGCUGUCCGGCGAAGAAGGCCGCGGUAAGCUGCGAAAAGCUGCGGGGAGGAGCAAACAUCCAGAGAUCCGCAGAUAGCCGAAUGGGGUAACCCGUAUGUCGUAAGACAUACACCGCGCGCGGGAAGAAGAUACUGCGGCGGAGCGAGACUGCGUGAAGUGAACCAUCUAAGUAACGCGGGAAGAGAAAUCAAAAGAGAUUGCGCAAGUAGCGGCGAGCGAACGCGCAGGAGCCUAAACCCUUUAUAGGGUGUUGCAGGGCCGCACGGGGAUGACCCGUGGAGUUAGGAAAAAACCGAUUUUUAGCAGAAGCGUCUGGAAAGGCGCGCGAGACAGCGUGAAAGCCGCGUAAGCGAAAAGGAUCGGACUCCAUGGUGCGGUACCUAAGUAGGGCGGGGCACGAGAAACCCAGUCUGAAUCCGGGUCGACCACGAUCCAAGGCUAAAUACGAGACAGCUACCGACAGUGCAGCAGUACCGUGAGGGAAAGGCGAAAAGAACCCCGGUGAGGGGAGUGAAAGAGAACCUGAAACCACAGACCGACAAGAUGUCACGGCUCGCAAGAGUUGUGGCGUGUCUUUUGUAGAAUAAACCUGCGAGUUGCGUUGCGCGGCGAGGCUAAGGGUUGGAAGAUCCGGAGCCGGAGCGAAAGCGAGUGUGAAAAGUGCGAAAAGUCGCGUGACGCAGACCCGAAGCCAAGGUGAUCUAAUUAUGGGCAGGCUGAAGGCAGGGUGAAACCUGUUGGAGGGCCGAACAGUAAUCUGUUAAAAAAGGUAGUGAUGACCUGUGAUUAGGAGUGAAAGGCUAAACAAACCUGGAAAUAGCUGGUUCUCCCCGAAAUGCCUUUAGGGACAGCCUCAUGCAAAGCGGAAGGAGGUAAAGCACCGGAUGGGAUAGGGGGCGUCACAGUCUACCGACACCAAUCGAACUCAGAAUGCCAUCCGCCAACGCAUGGGAGUGAGACUGUGUGCUCCAAGGUUCAUAGUCGAGAGGGAAACAGCCCGGACCGUCGGCAAAGGUCCCAAAAUAACGCUCAGUGUGAAAUGAGGUGCGUCUGCACAGACAGCCAGGAGGUUGGCUUAGAAGCAGCCAUUCCUUAAAAGAGUGCGUAACAGCUCACUGGUCGAGCAGGCGUGCGCAGACAAUGUAACGGGGCUAAGCGUUAUACCGAAGCCGCGGGUCCGCAUUGUAAGAUGCGGGCGGUAGGGGAGCAUUGCGCUAACCGGCGAAGGCGUACCUGUGAGGGGCGCUGGAGGAAGCGGAAGAGAGAAUGCAGGCACAAGUAACGAAAAGACGGGUGAGAUUCCCGUCCGCCGAAAGCCUGAGGAUUCCCGGGUAAAGGCAAUCUGCCCGGGGUAAGUCGGCCCCUAAGGCGAGGACGAAAGUCGUAGUCGAUGGGAAAUCGGUUCAAAAUCCGAUACCCGGCUCAGUUUUGAAGGCAGGACGCAUGAGGUGAAAUCCGGCAGGAGAACGGUAGUUCCUGUCCAAGCAGUGAGGUGUUGAGAGGGCGGAUAAAAGAGCUCUUGAGCUGAGCUGUUACGGGGAGCGGAGCGCAGGCGAAGCGAAGCGGACGUAAUCAAGGUGCCGGGAAAUACUGUCUAAAGUUAGGCUGAGUCGGACCGUACCGGAAACGGACACACGCAGGCAGGAUGAGUAAUCUAAGGCGCACGAGCGACCCCGCGUUAAGGAACUCGGCAAAAAGCACACGUAACUUCGGAAGAAGUGUGGCUCACGCUGAUAAGGAUGUGAGCGGCAGAAAGCAGGCCCAGGCGACUGUUUAUCAAAAACACAGCCAUCUGCGAACCAGUAAUGGGACGUAUAGGUGGUGACACCUGCCCGGUACCGGAAGGUUAAGGGGAGGGGUUAGCAGCAAUGCGAAGCUCCGAACCGAAGCCCCGGCAAACGGCGGCCGUAACUAUAACGGUCCUAAGGUAGCGAAAUUCCUUGUCGGGUAACGAUUCUGGGCGCUGUCUCAACGCGGGACUCGGUGAAACUUAUAUUCCGGUAAAGAAGCCGGAUACCCGUAAUUAGACGGAAAGACCCCGUGAACCUUCACCGCAGCUUAUCACUGGGAUUCUAUCCGCCAUGUGUAGGAUAGCCGGGAGGCUAUGAAGCGUGCGCGUUAGCGUGCGUGGAGCCGUUGGUGAAAUACCGGCCCUGGCGGAUGGGAUUUCUAACUCCGGUCCGUGAAGCCGGAUGGGGGACAGUGAUUGGCGGGCGGUUU
RNAcentral lists this ribosomal RNA (2255 nucleotides) under human metagenome. RNAcentral describes it as "bacterial LSU rRNA". It matches the Rfam family "Bacterial large subunit ribosomal RNA", at positions 3 to 2271 of the family's 2925-position model. The record is from RNAcentral.